GACGAACGCUGGCGGCGUGCUUAACACAUGCAAGUCGAACGGCAAGGCCCUGCUUUUGUGGGGUGCUCGAGUGGCGAACGGGUGAGUAACACGUGAGUAACCUGCCCUUGACUUUGGGAUAACUUCAGGAAACUGGGGCUAAUACCGGAUAGGAGCCGCUGCUGCAUGGUGGGGGUGGGAAAGUUUCGGCUGUUGGGGAUGGACUCGCGGCUUAUCAGCUUGUUGGUGGGGUAGUGGCUUACCAAGGCUUUGACGGGUCGCCGGCCUGAGAGGGUGACCGGGCACAUGGGGACUGAGGUACGGACCAGACUCCUACGGGAGGCAGAAGUGGGGAAUAUUGCACAAUGGGCGGGAGCCGGAUGCAGAAGCGCCGCGUGCGGGAUGACGGCCUUCGGGUUGUAAACCGCUUUCGCCUGUGACGCAGCGUGAGUGACGGUAAUGGGUAAAGAAGCACCGGCUAACUACGUG
Molecule: ribosomal RNA, 468 nt
Filed under: uncultured bacterium
Lineage: Bacteria
Description: partial 16S ribosomal RNA
Rfam family: Bacterial small subunit ribosomal RNA
Source: RNAcentral